RNAcentral lists this ribosomal RNA (465 nucleotides) under uncultured bacterium. RNAcentral describes it as "partial 16S ribosomal RNA". It matches the Rfam family "Bacterial small subunit ribosomal RNA", at positions 28 to 507 of the family's 1533-position model. The record is from RNAcentral.
GACGAACGCUGGCGGCGUGCUUAACACAUGCAAGUCGAACGGUAAGGCUCCAGCUUGCUGGGGUACACGAGUGGCGAACGGGUGAGUAACACGUGGGUGACCUGCCCUGCACUUCGGGAUAAGCCUGGGAAACUGGGUCUAAUACCGGAUAGGACCGCACCGUGAGGGUGUGGUGGAAAGUUUUUUCGGUGUGGGAUGGGCCCGCGGCCUAUCAGCUUGUUGGUGGGGUAAUGGCCUACCAAGGCGGCGACGGGUAGCCGGCCUGAGAGGGUGGACGGCCACAUUGGGACUGAGACACGGCCCAGACUCCUACGGGAGGCAGCAGUGGGGAAUAUUGCACAAUGGGCGGAAGCCUGAUGCAGCGACGCCGCGUGGGGGAUGACGGCCUUCGGGUUGUAAACUCCUUUCACCAUCGACGAAGGGUUUCUGACGGUAGAUGGAGAUGAAGCACCGGCUAACUACGUG